GGGCAAGGAAAGUGUCAUAAUUUGAUACUGUAUCUGUUUUCCUUCAAAGUAUAGAGCUUUUGGGGAAGGAAAGUAUUGAACUGGGGGUUGGUCUGGCCUACUGGGCUGACAUUAACUACAAUUAUGGGAAAUGCAAAAGUUGUUUGGAUAUGGUAGUGUGUGGUUCUCUUUUGGAAUUUUUUUCAGGUGAUUUAAUAAUAAUUUAAAACUACUAUAGAAACUGCAGAGCAAAGGAAGUGGCUUAAUGAUCCUGAAGGGAUUUCUUCUGAUGGUAGCUUUUGUAUUAUCAAGUAAGAUUCUAUUUUCAGUUGUGUGUAAGCAAGUUUUUUUUUAGUGUAGGAGAAAUACUUUUCCAUUGUUUAACUGCAAAACAAGAUGUUAAGGUAUGCUUCAAAAAUUUUGUAAAUUGUUUAUUUUAAACUUAUCUGUUUGUAAAUUGUAACUGAUUAAGAAUUGUGAUAGUUCAGCUUGAAUGUCUCUUAGAGGGUGGGCUUUUGUUGAUGAGGGAGGGGAAACUUUUUUUUUUUCUAUAGACUUUUUUCAGAUAACAUCUUCUGAGUCAUAACCAGCCUGGCAGUAUGAUGGCCUAGAUGCAGAGAAAACAGCUCCUUGGUGAAUUGAUAAGUAAAGGCAGAAAAGAUUAUAUGUCAUACCUCCAUUGGGGAAUAAGCAUAACCCUGAGAUUCUUACUACUGAUGAGAACAUUAUCUGCAUAUGCCAAAAAAUUUUAAGCAAAUGAAAGCUACCAAUUUAAAGUUACGGAAUCUACCAUUUUAAAGUUAAUUGCUUGUCAAGCUAUAACCACAAAAAUAAUGAAUUGAUGAGAAAUACAAUGAAGAGGCAAUGUCCAUCUCAAAAUACUGCUUUUACAAAAGCAGAAUAAAAGCGAAAAGAAAUGAAAAUGUUACACUACAUUAAUCCUGGAAUAAAAGAAGCCGAAAUAAAUGAGAGAUGAGUUGGGAUCAAGUGGAUUGAGGAGGCUGUGCUGUGUGCCAAUGUUUCGUUUGCCUCAGACAGGUAUCUCUUCGUUAUCAGAAGAGUUGCUUCAUUUCAUCUGGGAGCAGAAAACAGCAGGCAGCUGUUAACAGAUAAGUUUAACUUGCAUCUGCAGUAUUGCAUGUUAGGGAUAAGUGCUUAUUUUUAAGAGCUGUGGAGUUCUUAAAUAUCAACCAUGGCACUUUCUCCUGACCCCUUCCCUAGGGGAUUUCAGGAUUGAGAAAUUUUUCCAUCGAGCCUUUUUAAAAUUGUAGGACUUGUUCCUGUGGGCUUCAGUGAUGGGAUAGUACACUUCACUCAGAGGCAUUUGCAUCUUUAAAUAAUUUCUUAAAAGCCUCUAAAGUGAUCAGUGCCUUGAUGCCAACUAAGGAAAUUUGUUUAGCAUUGAAUCUCUGAAGGCUCUAUGAAAGGAAUAGCAUGAUGUGCUGUUAGAAUCAGAUGUUACUGCUAAAAUUUACAUGUUGUGAUGUAAAUUGUGUAGAAAACCAUUAAAUCAUUCAAAAUAAUAAACUAUUUUUAUUAGAGAAUGUAUACUUUUAGAAAGCUGUCUCCUUAUUUAAAUAAAAUAGUGUUUGUCUGUAGUUCAGUGUUGGGGCAAUCUUGGGGGGGAUUCUUCUCUAAUCUUUCAGAAACUUUGUCUGCGAACACUCUUUAAUGGACCAGAUCAGGAUUUGAGCGGAAGAACGAAUGUAACUUUAAGGCAGGAAAGACAAAUUUUAUUCUUCAUAAAGUGAUGAGCAUAUAAUAAUUCCAGGCACAUGGCAAUAGAGGCCCUCUAAAUAAGGAAUAAAUAACCUCUUAGACAGGUGGGAGAUUAUGAUCAGAGUAAAAGGUAAUUACACAUUUUAUUUCCAGAAAGUCAGGGGUCUAUAAAUUGACAGUGAUUAGAGUAAUACUUUUUCACAUUUCCAAAGUUUGCAUGUUAACUUUAAAUGCUUACAAUCUUAGAGUGGUAGGCAAUGUUUUACACUAUUGACCUUAUAUAGGGAAGGGAGGGGGUGCCUGUGGGGUUUUAAAGAAUUUUCCUUUGCAGAGGCAUUUCAUCCUUCAUGAAGCCAUUCAGGAUUUUGAAUUGCAUAUGAGUGCUUGGCUCUUCCUUCUGUUCUAACUUCACAGAGAAUGCAGUUGUCUUGACUUCAGAUGCAACCUUAAAAUCAGUGACAAGAAACAUUCCAAACAAGCAACAGUCUUCAAGAAAUUAAACUGGCAAGUGGAAAUGUUUAAACAGUUCAGUGAUCUUUAGUGCAUUGUUUAUGUGUGGGUUUCUCUCUCCCCUCCCUUGGUCUUAAUUCUUACAUGCAGGAACACUCAGCAGACACACGUAUGCGAAGGGCCAGAGAAGCCAGACCCAGUAAGAAAAAAUAGCCUAUUUACUUUAAAUAAACCAAACAUUCCAUUUUAAAUGUGGGGAUUGGGAACCACUAGUUCUUUCAGAUGGUAUUCUUCAGACUAUAGAAGGAGCUUCCAGUUGAAUUCACCAGUGGACAAAAUGAGGAAAACAGGUGAACAAGCUUUUUCUGUAUUUACAUACAAAGUCAGAUCAGUUAUGGGACAAUAGUAUUGAAUAGAUUUCAGCUUUAUGCUGGAGUAACUGGCAUGUGAGCAAACUGUGUUGGCGUGGGGGUGGAGGGGUGAGGUGGGCGCUAAGCCUUUUUUUAAGAUUUUUCAGGUACCCCUCACUAAAGGCACCGAAGGCUUAAAGUAGGACAACCAUGGAGCCUUCCUGUGGCAGGAGAGACAACAAAGCGCUAUUAUCCUAAGGUCAAGAGAAGUGUCAGCCUCACCUGAUUUUUAUUAGUAAUGAGGACUUGCCUCAACUCCCUCUUUCUGGAGUGAAGCAUCCGAAGGAAUGCUUGAAGUACCCCUGGGCUUCUCUUAACAUUUAAGCAAGCUGUUUUUAUAGCAGCUCUUAAUAAUAAAGCCCAAAUCUCAAGCGGUGCUUGAAGGGGAGGGAAAGGGGGAAAGCGGGCAACCACUUUUCCCUAGCUUUUCCAGAAGCCUGUUAAAAGCAAGGUCUCCCCACAAGCAACUUCUCUGCCACAUCGCCACCCCGUGCCUUUUGAUCUAGCACAGACCCUUCACCCCUCACCUCGAUGCAGCCAGUAGCUUGGAUCCUUGUGGGCAUGAUCCAUAAUCGGUUUCAAGGUAAUAGCCUGCAGCUGGUGUUUUGAGAAGCCCUACUGCUGAAAACUUAACAAUUUUGUGUAAUAAAAAUGGAGAAGCUCUAAA
Molecule: long non-coding RNA, 3225 nt
Filed under: Homo sapiens (human)
Lineage: Eukaryota; Metazoa; Chordata; Mammalia; Primates; Hominidae
Description: metastasis associated lung adenocarcinoma transcript 1
Rfam family: Metastasis associated lung adenocarcinoma transcript 1 (bases 811-905)
Source: RNAcentral